Molecule: ribosomal RNA, 548 nt
Filed under: Fusarium solani
Lineage: Eukaryota; Fungi; Ascomycota; Sordariomycetes; Hypocreales; Nectriaceae
Description: eukaryotic LSU rRNA
Rfam family: Eukaryotic large subunit ribosomal RNA
Source: RNAcentral
UGACCUCGAAUCAGGUAGGAAUACCCGCUGAACUUAAGCAUAUCAAUAAGCGGAGGAAAAGAAACCAACAGGGAUUGCCCCAGUAACGGCGAGUGAAGCGGCAACAGCUCAAAUUUGAAAUCUGGCUCUCGGGCCCGAGUUGUAAUUUGUAGAGGAUGCUUUUGGUGAGGUGCCUUCCGAGUUCCCUGGAACGGGACGCCAUAGAGGGUGAGAGCCCCGUCUGGUUGGACGCCGAACCUCUGUAAAGCUCCUUCGACGAGUCGAGUAGUUUGGGAAUGCUGCUCUAAAUGGGAGGUAUAUGUCUUCUAAAGCUAAAUACCGGCCAGAGACCGAUAGCGCACAAGUAGAGUGAUCGAAAGAUGAAAAGAACUUUGAAAAGAGAGUUAAACAGUACGUGAAAUUGUUGAAAGGGAAGCGCUUGUGACCAGACUUGGGCUUGGUUGAUCAUCCGGGGUUCUCCCCGGUGCACUCUUCCGGCCCAGGCCAGCAUCAGUUCGCCCUGGGGGACAAAGGCUUCGGGAACGUGGCUCUCUCCGGGGAGUGUUAUA